This is a long non-coding RNA of Gorilla gorilla gorilla (western lowland gorilla), 2807 nucleotides long. RefSeq lists it as uncharacterized. The transcript has 4 exons. The record is from RefSeq and is a predicted model, not a curated record. NCBI's taxonomy places the organism in Eukaryota, Metazoa, Chordata, Mammalia, Primates, Hominidae.
ACCCAAUCAGAACAUGUAGUCCAGAAACCAUGCCGUAACCCCAUGUGCAUGUUGAGGAGGCCUCACGCCACUUUAGGCUCACCAGUAUCUCCCACCGAGCUACUCUGUUUCCGGCUUAGAGGACCAGGAGAAGGGGGAGCUGGAGGCUACAGCCUGUAACACCGUGGCUCGUCUCGCUCUGGGUGGUGGUGGCAACAAUGCAGUGGAGCUGGAGUGUUAGGAGUGCAGCCUGAGCGGUUUUUCUGGCAUUGUCUGCCCAGCUGCUCCAAGCCAGGCUGAUGAAGGAGGAGUCCCCUGUGGUGAGCUGGAGGUUGUAGCCUGAAGAUGGCACAGCUCUGUAAUUCAUCUCCUGUGGUUGUGGCAGCCAUGGUGAUGGAGAGAGCAGCUCAUCAGGAGCGGCACAAAAGGCAGUCUCAGCAUCUCUAUAGCAGGAGCCACUCUCUAAGAGUCUCUCCAGAGAAAUAAGCUUCCCAGACCAUCCAGCUGCUGGAUUUUCCCUCAGAACUUUGAAGACCAUAGUCAAUUGGAUUAUUGAUCUUAUUCACAUAUUGAGAAAUAGGUUUGUUUUCAUUGCUUUAUAAUUAAUUUGAAUUUUAUCUUAGUUGGCUUUAUGUGAUUUUCUCUAUUUUGGUAUUAUGCUUUUAACUAUUGUUUUUCUUUUGAUAAGAAUGCCUUUAAGCUGUUAUAAUUAAUUAUUUUAAUAAUCAUAUAUUUUUAUUCCCUAUUUGACAUUCACUCCAUUUUAUUUAUUUAAACUUGUACUUAAACAACUUCCCUUGUUCUGGAUUUUUAUGUAUUUUAAUUUUUCAUAUUGUGUAUUUGUUUUAUCCCUAUUGGGACUUCUAAAUAUUCACUUCAUCCUACCAUCUAAUUCAUAAUUUCUUUCAUUUAUGUAAUUUUUCUAUUUAUUCUAUGCUGUACAUUUAAAAUUUUUAUGUAAUUACUUUGAUAAUAUAUUUUGAUCUUACCUUUAAAUUUUUCCUCUAAUAUAUUUAAACAUUAUAACUACUUAUAUUAUUUCUACACUAUAUAUACAAUUUGGGGAUUUAUUAAGAUCUAAUGGUUCAGCCUUGUUUUGAUUAUUGUUUUGUUUCUGAAUAACUUUGGUCUUGACGACUUUUACUUUGUAUAUUUUAAAUAGAAUAGUAGAUUUCAUUUUAUUGUAAAUGACUGACCUCAAAUGAUGGGGUCAUUGAAGAUUCUGGGUUGAGGUAUUUUUUUCUGUGAAAAGUUAUCUGUAAUGUGAACAAUGCUCCCUUUACAGACACCUGAAAAUGAUUAAGUCAAUGUAUUUACCUAAAUUGUCCUGAUUAAAACACAGGGCGUACAUAUGAACCAGAAACUAAUAUGAGGAUUGUUGUUAAUUCCCAAAUCAACCAAAAAGGAGAAAUAUCACCUCCACUAACUACUCUAACCUAUUUUUUCUAAACUUUUGAAAAUGUAAGGAUUCUAGCUUUAGAUAGCAUCAUCAGAUCCAAAUACUCCUGCAUCUAUGCUGCUGUGACAUUAUAUUCACCAAUCAGACAUGUUCAAUUCUAACAACCUGUACUUCCAUUAUCAGCAAUUCCUACAGGUAGCAUCAACUUCCAGUGUAAUUUUUAUUCUACAGCUGUGCUUUUUUAGUUCUUUCCUGAAAAAUUAUUUGUGAAGGUACAUGCCUUUGAAGUUUCUCAGCAUAUAUGGUUUUUUGAGGUUGAAAAGAUAAGAUUAUCUAAAUUUUUGCCAGAAAUUCUGAUAUCCAGUGAGACAGUGCCCCAUGUUUCUGCUGAUCCAUCUGACCCUUUCCUGGUGCUUUUCCACGAGGGAAAAAUGGAACAAUGAGGAGUCGGUGCUUGAUCUGAUGUUGCCUGUUGCUUACCACAAUCACAGAAAGGAAUACAAAAAGGCUCAACUAUUACUUUGAUGUGGGUCUCUUGCUUUAAUUUAAAACUCUGAUAUCAAGCAGUUUAGCUCUUCCCAGCUUAGCUCUUGAAAUUUCAAGGAAGAAAUUCUGUUUAUAUUUGUCUAAAUUUUGUGUCAUUUAUACAGAAAAAAUGGUAAUAAAGUUGCAUCAUAUAUUUAAAAAUUGAAUGCCUUCUGUUUUGCCAUUUUACUGAAGAGAAAAUUUGUGUAGCCUAUUGGAAUUAUUAACAGUGAAGCUCCAAGUACUAAUAUUCAGAAAAAUUAAAGAAUCAAACUCCAACUAUUUCUCAAUAGCGUUUCUUUUCUUAUAAACUUUCUAUUUUAUUAUCUGUAAUUUAAAAACUUCCAUAGAAAAGAGUUUAAAAUUUUCAAAGGUAAUACAAAAUUAUUUUUAGAAUUUCUUUUUGAAUAACCAUUUGUUGUAAGUAGCUAAUAUUAAUAAAUUGUAAUCAUCAACUAUUAUCUAAGCUGUACAUUAAAAAAUGUGUUAAUACUUGCAGCUGCAUAAAAUAUAAUGCAGAUUUACAUAAUCUAAGUUACUAAAAAUAAUAUAAUUUUGCAUAGUAAUAUACACAUAAAUAAUCAACAUACACAAGUCUUUUUUUUUCUAUUGCUUACUUACAUUUUCUGUUUGAUAUGUGUAUCAGAAUGAAGUGUUUAUGUCCUAUUGUCGUAAAUGGAAAUUUGCCUAUUUUGCAUUUUUUUAUAUUAAAUAAUCAGACAUGCUUAGUUUCCCCUAGGUUAAAUUUUUUACAUAAUUGUUAUUAACAUAAACAAUCCAGAAAUUAUUUAAAGUUUUUAAAAAACUUUCCAUUGCCUUCACUGUGCAUAAUAUAAUUCUGUUUGUCAAAGUGUUAGUGUUGUUUGCAUUAUGUAAAAUAACAUUAUAGUGAUAUCAACCAACU